AACGAACGCUGGCGGCAUGCCUAACACAUGCAAGUCGAACGAGACCUUCGGGUCUAGUGGCGCACGGGUGCGUAACGCGUGGGAACCUGCCCUUAGGUUCGGAAUAACUCCCCGAAAGGGGUGCUAAUACCGGAUAAUGUCUUCGGACCAAAGAUUUAUCGCCUUUGGGUGGGCCCGCGUUGGAUUAGCUAGUUGGUAGGGGAAAAGCCUACCAAGGCGACGAUCCAGAGCUGGUCUGAAAGGAUGAUCAGCCACACUUGGACUGAGACAAGGCCCCGAAUCCUACGGGAGGCAGCAGUGGGGAAUAUUGGACAAUGAGCGAAAGCCUGAUCCAGCAAUGCCGCGUGAGUGAUGAAGGCCUUAGGGUUGUAAAGCUCUUUUACCCGGGAUGAUAAUGACAGUACCGGGAGAAUAAGCUCCGGAUAACUCCGUG
RNAcentral lists this ribosomal RNA (433 nucleotides) under uncultured bacterium. Its description in RNAcentral is "partial 16S ribosomal RNA". It matches the Rfam family "Bacterial small subunit ribosomal RNA", at positions 29 to 507 of the family's 1533-position model. The record is from RNAcentral.